GGGGUAAAGUUUAAUUUUAGCUUAAUGAUUUUCUCUAUUUUUUAUUUUACAUGUAAAUUUUAGUGUGAAUAAUUAAAUAUUUAAAUAAUAUUUAAUUUUUGAUUUUAAUCGCAGUAUAAAAUAUUAAAUAUUAAAUAAGUUUAGAUUUGGGAAUAAAAUUAAAAAUUGACAAAAUUUGUGCCAGCAGUUGCGGUUACACAAAUAGUUUAAGAAAAUUAUUUUAGAAGUAGUUAAUUUAAAAUUUUAAUAAUUAUAAUUAAAUUUUUAAAGUGAAAUUUAAAAUUUAAAUAGAAUUAAUAUAAAAUUUUUUGAGGCUAAUAAAUUUAAAUUAAAAACUAGGAUUAGAUACCCUAUUAUUUUAAACUUAAAUAUAUUUUCUAAAUUAGUAACAGUUUAUGAUCUCCAAAAUUAAAAAAUUUGGCGGUACUUUAGUCUUUUCAGAGGAACCUGUUCUAUAAUCGAUAAUCCACGAUUAAUUGUACUUAUCUUAAAAAUUUAUAUAUCGUCGUAGUUUGAAUAUUUUAAAAGAAUAAAUAAUAUUCAAAAUUUAAAAUUUUAAAUUAAAUCAGAUCAAGGUGUAGUUUAUAGGUAAGAAGAAAUGGGUUACAUUAAAUAUAUUUUUAAAUAUAUUUAUGAAAUUGAAUAUUGAAAUUGGAUUUGAAAGUAAUUUUUUAUAUUUUUAAAAAAUGAUUUAAGCUCUAAAGUAUGUACAUAUUGCCCGUCGCUUUUGUUUUAAGAUGAAAUAAGUCGUAACAAAGUAGAUUUACUGGAAAGUGAAUCUAGAAA
RNAcentral lists this non-coding RNA (786 nucleotides) under Callimerus sp. Lineage: Eukaryota; Metazoa; Arthropoda; Insecta; Coleoptera; Cleridae. The record is from RNAcentral.